GUGGGGAAUAUUGGACAAUGGGCGCAAGCCUGAUCCAGCCAUGCCGCGUGUGUGAAGAAGGCCUUCGGGUUGUAAAGCACUUUCAGCGAGGAGGAAGGGAUGUAUGUUAAUAGCAUGCAUUUUUGACGUUACUCGCAGAAGAAGCACCGGCUAACUCUGUGCCAGCAGCCGCGGUAAUACAGAGGGUGCAAGCGUUAAUCGGAAUUACUGGGCGUAAAGCGCACGUAGGCGGUUUUUUAAGUCAGAUGUGAAAGCCCCGGGCUCAACCGGGGAAUUGCAUUUGAAACUGGGGAACUAGAGUGUGUGAGAGGGGGGUAGAAUUCCAAGUGUAGCGGUGAAAUGCGUAGAGAUUUGGAGGAAUACCAGUGGCGAAGGCGGCCCCCUGGCACAACACUGACGCUCAGGUGCGAAAGCGUGGGGAGCAAACAGGAUUAGAAACCCCUGUAGUCC
Molecule: ribosomal RNA, 450 nt
Filed under: uncultured bacterium
Lineage: Bacteria
Description: partial 16S ribosomal RNA
Rfam family: Bacterial small subunit ribosomal RNA
Source: RNAcentral